UAGGGAAUCUUCGGCAAUGGGGGCAACCCCUGACCGAGCAACGCCGCGUGAGUGAAGAAGGUUUUCGGAUCGUAAAGCUCUGUUGUAAGAGAAGAACGUGUGUGAGAGUGGAAAGUUCACACAGUGACGGUAACUUACCAGAAAGGGACGGCUAACUACGUGCCAG
Molecule: ribosomal RNA, 166 nt
Filed under: uncultured bacterium
Lineage: Bacteria
Description: partial 16S rRNA
Rfam family: Bacterial small subunit ribosomal RNA
Source: RNAcentral